CUUUUCUCUUUCCCUUUAAACAGCAGUGCAGGUGAUCAGAAAUGAAGGCAACCCAGUUGUGAGAAUGUGAUUAAAUAAUAAAUAAAGGUGUUUCUUAUUAGGAAAAACAAAAGUGCCGUUCUAAGAAGGGUAGGAAAACAAAUACCUGCAAAGGUUUAAAUGCCACAACUCAAAAAUAACAAAAUAUACGAAGAACUGAAGUUCAGACAACAGGAAAGGUCAAGCUUCAUAACCCAGCCCCUCGGAGAUCCCUGCUGCACAGACACGUGUUCUUUCAGAAGGCAUUAAACAAAGCCAGGGACUACGGUGACACGAAGGGCUACACCCUCACAGUAACCUCUCAUUCAGCUUCUUAUGGGAACAUCUCCUCCCCUCCAACUGCACAGAGGAAGAGAUCCAAGAGGCCUGCCUUCCUCUAAAGCAUACAGCAGAGGUGGGGGGUUCAGACCCCAGUCCUACCAAGCAGACCCCUCCUGCUGAGGGGUUUGGUUCUGCCUGUUUUCCUCCUCUUCCUUUUCUAUUUUUUUUUCCCCAUAGGAAGAAACUGAAGAAAGGAAUUCUGCGACAAACAAAGCAUUGAAAAGUGAAGGAGCUCCUGGUGAAGGGCAUCUGACUGAAAGCUGUAAGCUGUGGUGCUUCAGUGGUGCUUCACACAACCAUUUCCCUCAGAGUUCACCUCUCAGAUCUUCUCUGCUCCAGUUUGCCUCUGCCUUCUCUCAGAGCAACACUGGUUGUGGACAAUGAACUCGCAUCGAGGCAGGGACAGCACGCUCCCCUGCUAGCGAAGUUCAUUGAGGUUCUGGUGGUGAAGGUUUGGGCGCUGCCUGUUCAAGUUGAUGGUGUUGUCCAGCGUGAUGCUGUCAUCCUCCUGCGUGGUUUCUGGCAUGAACUGCCGGAAUAUGCUGACACUGCCGUGCCAGAAGAUGGGCUCGGGGAGCCGCCCUGCUACACUCCAUGUUCGCGUCUCAGGGUCAUAAGCUUCCAGGACAUCCGAGAGCUCAAAGGUGUUGUCGUAGCCGCCGGAGACGUAGAGCUUCCCUCCUAGCACAGCAACACUGCCCCCAACGUGGACCUACAGUUUAAGAUUGGAUAAGCACCACAAUUAGAAGGGCAGGUAUUACCCAACCAGGAAGGUCUCCUGCCCACUCAGAGGCAAGCGUGGGACACAGCAGCAGCUGCAGACCCCUGCAUGGCACUGAAGCCAUUGGCUGCCCCCAUGGCCAUGCACUGCUGCACCGGCAGCACCUCUCAUCAGAAUCUUUUCCUUCCAGGUAACCGUGAUAAAUUUAAAUGCAUUCUGUGCACAAGGGUUAUCAUCAAGACAGAACACUGCUUUCCAAAGGUAACUUAACCCCAUUUUUAGCACUGAUAAGCAUCCAGUAGGGUGGUGAACAUCCUACCUGAAGCAUGGCAGGGAUUUUAUCCCAUUCGUUCUUCACUGGAUUGUAAACAUCCACUUCAGCUGAGUCAUCCCUGCAGGAGAUAACACAAAAUUACUCUUCUGUGUUGUCAAAACCUUCUGCCUCGUGAAGCCCACGGCUGAACAGCCUGAGCCAUGACCUGCAACACCGCCACAAGUGCUUUUCCUGCAGCCCUGCCACAUAGACUGAAGACCAGAGGGCUGCUGUAUGAAGGCUCAGGUCUCAAAGCAAAGCUCAGCCUCCAGCACGGACUUCUCAGAUAACAGCAGUAAAGUUCAACCCCAGGAAACACCUGGAACUCUGUGCUGCACCUCUACACACAAAACACGCUACCGCAGACAUCGCUCAAGUACCACUGCCCUAAUUCUCAGUGCCAGUGACCUACAUCUAAAGAACCCGAAUGGCCCUUCUCAGCUUCUCCCUGGGCAAAGCAAUGCUUUAUGUACUUCCUGAUGUACGCUGAGCUUUAGGACACCACCUAGGAGGUACAAAAGACAAUUCGGAGGCAAUCCUGAGGGCUUUCUCAAACCCAGAC
This 1956-nucleotide long non-coding RNA is filed under the name Gallus gallus (chicken). RNAcentral describes it as "long non-coding RNA NONGGAT004840". The record is from RNAcentral. Lineage: Eukaryota; Metazoa; Chordata; Aves; Galliformes; Phasianidae.